AUCCUCGGCGUCAGGGAUGAACGCUAGCUACAGGCUUAACACAUGCAAGUCGAGGGGCAGCAUGUAUCUGGCUUGCCAGAUACGAUGGCGACCGGCGCACGGGCGAGUAACGCGUAUCCGACCUGCCGCACACUCCGGGAUAGCCUUGCGAAAGCAAGUUUAAUACCGGAUGCCGUAAGGACGCCGCAUGGUGUUUUUACGAAAGGGGUUUACCGGUGUGCGAUGGGGAUGCGUCCCAUUAG
RNAcentral lists this ribosomal RNA (242 nucleotides) under uncultured bacterium. RNAcentral's name for it is "partial 16S ribosomal RNA". It matches the Rfam family "Bacterial small subunit ribosomal RNA", at positions 27 to 244 of the family's 1533-position model. The record is from RNAcentral.